Molecule: long non-coding RNA, 5518 nt
Organism: Hyaena hyaena (striped hyena)
Lineage: Eukaryota; Metazoa; Chordata; Mammalia; Carnivora; Hyaenidae
Exons: 6
Source: RefSeq, a predicted model, not a curated record
CCCCGCUCCCAGCAACUCCCUUUGCAUUACCAUGGAAGGUACUUGAGACUGUUCAGGUGUAUCCCAUUCUCUCACACUCUGUUAGCAUUAUAGUAGGGGGUGCUUAAUACCAAGGCCUUCCUUUUUUGCAUUGUUAAUAUGCAUAAUUGCAUUUGUUCAUCUUUCUCUGCAGUAGAUAAGAUUUCACUAACUUCCCUUGUAUUCAGCAGUGGAUGCCCUUUAUUCAAGACCUUUGUACUAGGAUAAAGUGAACCAUGGUAAUUGACCACAUUGUCAUUAGUUUUAGUCCUCUGUGCUCUCUGUAUUAAUUACUUAGUUACUUUUUUGGGGAUUUGUAUGCAAAAUUCCAAUAUUUAUGGUCCUUCUCUUUAAAUUAAUUUCCCACCCUUUUUUUUUUAUUACAUCGGGGGUGUUAGUAUCUCAAAGUACUUCUCUUGGGACUCUAAAUGUGCAUACAGCCUCUUGAUAAGCUAAUAUCUUUAUUUCUUAGUAUUAUGGCAGGGGGUACUGACCAUCUAAGGUCUUUCUUUUGGACAGUUAAUGUGCCAAAUUAUCCAUCCCCAUCCACCUUCUCUGAGUCAGGGGUGCUGACCAACUAUAAGUGCUUCUCCUAUAUAGUUUAAAUAUGCAUAAUUACAGUAACCAAUGGUCACUUAUGUUAGAUUGGGAUCUCAUUUCUUUGCCCCAUUUACAUUACUUCAGGGGCUUCUUACUAGCCAAGAGUAACUCUCUUAGACCGUUAACGUGCAUACUUAAAUUCACUCUUAUACCUGCACAGUAGAUAAGGAUUCUCCCCAUAAUAUUUAUAUUCCAGCAGGAGGUGCCUACUACUCAAGAUUUUGCACACUAAUGCAGCUAAUGUGCACUGCCUUCGUUGUCUUGUGCAUACUCAGUUGUCCACAAUUGUACCUUUUAGCUCAGGACUCCUGCAAUUACUAAAGCCUUUCUUUUGGGACUGUGGAUGUGUGUAGCUUCAGUUGUCCACUGUCCUUUGAGUUAACUUGGGUCCCUGAGUCUUUUCACAAUCUCUAAGCUUUUACCGCAUGGACUGUUAAUGUGCAUAAUGACAAUUACGUUAGGGUUCUUCCCCCUUUACACUCCCUCUGAAGUACUGCAGAAUAAGAAGUACUUAUUCUGACCCAUAAGGUCCCAAUCCAUGGCCUGUUACGAUGCAUGAUUAAAUUUAUCUGGGUUCCUGUGUACUAGAGAAGAAAACCUCUCCCCACUCCCUGUAUCUUCGAGCAGGGAGUGCCCCCUCUAACUUGGACUGUUAACACUUGAGCAGUCAAGGAACACAAUUUUAACUGACCAAAGCCAUGCACCAUGGACAUUAAUGUGUAUAAUUGCACAUGGCUCAUCCUAUUUGAAUAAGAUACUACCUUCUCAGACCCCUUUUGUAGUACAGCAGGGGUACCGAUCACUAAGGCCUUUUUUCAUGCCUUGUGAUUAUGCAUAAUUGCAUUUGCACAUUUUUCCUAUACACCAAAUAAGGACACCCUUCUCCCCACUCCCUUUAUCUUUUAGCAAGGAGUGCCCAUUACUAAGAUCUUGUAUCUGUAUAAGAUACGUGGUUUUAAUUGACCAUACUGUAUCCUUUGGACAUUAAUAUACAUAAUUGCAACUUAGUUCAUCCUACCCUGUUGUAUGUCAUUUGCAGUAUGCCAGGGUUGCUGAUCCCUAGCUUGUGCUGUUAAUGUGCAUAAUUGCAUUAGUCUGGGUUCUUGUGCACUAGACGAGGACAUCCUCUACCCCUACUUCUCUGCCUUCUAGUAGGUGGUCCCCACUGCUAAGACAUUUACAUUUGGAUGGUUAAUGUGCAGAAUUGUUUCCACAACUCUAUCACUUCCAAAACUAUCAUACCUGCUUCAUACUGCUGCAGGGGAUACUGUUUUCUCCCAAAGUUCCUUCUAGUAAACCGUUAAUAUUCAUAAUUGAAAUAGUCAUACACCCUCAGCUUCCCUUUGCAGUACAGCAGUGUGUACUGAUCAAUUAAGGCCCUCUGUUGGACUGGUAAUAUGUGCAAUUGCAUUUUUUUCCUGUUUUGUGCACUCAGUAAGGACCCUGCCUACUUCCUUACCAGGUUCAGCAGGUAGAGUCCACUACUUAAGACUCUUUCACUUGGAAAGUUCAUGUGUACAAAUGCAGUUUGCUAAGUAUGUGUUAUACUAGAGCCCCGUUUUGCUUUGGAGUAAGGAGAUGUUAUUUACCUAAUGCCAUUUCUUUUAGACUCUAAUGUGUAUAAUUACAAUUGUCCAUCUUUUUUGUUUGACUAGGAUUGCAUUCCCUCAAAUCCCCUUUGUAUGGGGGGGUGUUAACCAUAAAUGAGCUCUUCUCUUGAGAUUAUUAUUAUACAGACUUGUAUUUGUCUGUGGAUUUGUGCAGUGUGAAAGGAUGCCCUAUGCACCUACCACUGCCUUUGGAUUGCUGCUGAGGAGCGCUAUCAUGACCUUCGCUCUUGGACAAUUAAUAUGCACCACUAGCAAUGAUGGGACCUCUGUACCUGCUUUGUAUAUAUCAGGGGUACUAAGGCCCCCUUCUUGGACUGUCAAUGUGCAAUUAUCUAUGUCCCCUUCUGUUAGAUUUAGGAUAACUUUCCCUUAAAACUCCUUUGCAUUAAUGCAGGGGUUGCUGACCACACAAAACUCCUAGAACUAUUACUGGGCACAAUGGCAAUUAGCAAUGGGUUUUUCCUCCUUGGCCUUGUUAGGCAAACACUCCUAGCCCCAAUUUCCCAUACCAUAAUAAAGUAUAAACAUUGCAGUAUGCUGUGAACUUGUCCAUCAAAUAGCACCCCAUACUCCCUCUCCUUUUGCAUUGCCUCUAAGUAUAAAAUUCCAAGUAGUCAUGAUCUUCCUGUUACCUUCCCUCUUCCCACCCCUUGCUCACCCUUGGACCCUUCCUAUGCACCAUUCUCACAAUUUCAGUUAUUCAUGUAUUGGGCCACUAAAUAAGAUUGUGUUCUUCCCUCCCAUCCCUACCUUGCCCCUUUUGCAUCAUUGCUGGUGCAUGUUGACUGGGCAAGGCCCUUUCUCUUGGGCUUAAAACAUUAAUAAUCCCAGAUGUCAUUGCAUUACCCACUUUGUAUUGUUGUAAUGCCUCAGUUGCACUUUCCUUGGUCCCACCCAUCAGACAUGGACCCCUCCACUUUGCAUUGCUUCUGAGUAGUGCUGAGUACCCAAACUCCUUUCUGUGUUAUUAACACAGUACUGAUUGUCCCAUUUUUCAGCCCAAGAUUUUCCUACCAUUUUGAUGUGUUUGUGCAGUGAUGACUAUCCAAAGCAGGCCUGAAUCAGGUGGAUGGACCUUCAUUCCUUUUUUUGCAUUUGUUAAUGAUCCCAAUUCCAGUUGUCACAUUCUGGGACAGGAACCAUCCCUGCCCAUUUCUGUUACUGCUUUAUUGGGCAAAAUACUCAAGGCAAGCCAGGCCUAGAAAGCUGGAUUGCCACCCUUUAUUUUGGAUUUUCAAUAUAAGUAUCAGUUGAAAAUUGUCUCCCCAGGAAGAAAGGUUAGCAUUGCCUGUAUUCUUCCUUCCAGAGCAGAUUGCCUGGCCAAGAAUCUUGCUUCUCCUCUUGUAUAUUGCUAUUGUACUGUGCCAGUUGCCAGGGUACAAUUAAAAAAAUGCUGUUUGCAAAGUGAAAUUGUAAACCUGGUCAUUGAAUUUUUGAGGUCCAAAAACCUAUUUAUACCAUGUACCUGAUGACCAGUGUCUCUCAUUUUAUUAAGGGUGUUGGGUCUGUGGAUAGACCACUGUGACUCUUUGCUAUUCUAGUAUUCUCAAAAGAGUUUUAAGAGUGGAACUCUUAAGACCAAUAUCUUUGGGCUCUACCACCAUUUUAACACCCAUUCCUUAUUUGGGCUUUACCACUGUUCACUUUUCGAAAAACUACCUAAACUUUCUAAUCCUUAAAUUUCUUCAUCUGAAGCAUCCACCACCCCUUACUUAUUUCAAGAAGAUUGCUGUAAAAGAAUGAAAUGAGAGAACAUAUGCUGAGGCACUUUUGAAAACCAUAGAAUUAUGGUUGAUAAAUCUAUUACAUAAAUAAAAUGUGCAGUUUAAUUCUGCUAACUUAAAGUAGCCUGAAGCACUACAUUGAAGUGAGGGCUUAGAAAUGAUGGGAUCAAUUUCCCUGUUUUAUAUUGAAAAAUGAGCCAAGAUCUAAUCAUUCUUCUGGACGUGAAUUUCAACAGUGGGAUAGCUGCUUGGUAAAAUGAAUAAUAUCCUAGUCUCUAGUGUGCAGGGUGUGGCAGAGAAGUAUUUAAUAUGGAACUGCUGAAACAAAUAACUAGUCGUCACAACAGCAGUUCUUUGUAAUCACUGAAAAAGGAUACUAUUCCUCUGACAAGGAUGUCAAAAGAUCGGCCCAGCUCAGGGUGCAGUAUGCACUACUAGCUCCUUGGACAGCUGUAAGAAGAGUCUCUGGCUCUUUAGAAUACUGGAUGAAUUCUAAGCUGGGUCUGUACUCCCACUGAAGAGGAAGGAUGAAUCAAUUUUAAGUGGAUUGAAGCCUGCAUUAGAUAGCAUCUAAAGGACAUUCCGAGUAUGUGAAACCUGAGGACUGCAAGUAGCUCUCAUCAGCUUCACAUUCAGCAGAUCUUUCCUUUUGAGAAUCUGAAUAAACUCCAAGUAAUCUAAGAUGAUGACUUGCAGGCUACCUGGAAGAUAAAAGAUCUUCCUCUGAAGAAUAGGUUUGUUGCUCUACAGUGUUAGUGACCCAUUCCCUUUGACGAUCCCUAGGUGGAGAUGGGGCAUGAGGAUCCUCCAGGGGAAAAGCUCACUAUCACUGGGCAACAACCCUAGGCUAAGAGGUUGUACCAAGAUUCUUUCUUGGGCCUAGGUAGGAAGAUGAAGUCUCAAAACAACUGCCACACAUCAGAGCUCCUGAUUGUUCCCUUCUUAUCUACCAAAUCAUUGUCUCCCUAAAGCAAUGCAGAGAGCAAGAAAUUUGAACACAUCAAAGGAAGAUCAACAUGCCUGGCAUGCUAACAUUUUAGAACAGCAGAAUGAAUGUGUAUUUCUUUGUCUAUUUUUUUCUCAAAUCUCCUUGGUCUUCCUUCUCUAUCUGAAGUGUGUCUCAGCCAUUCCACGAUUCUCUUGCAGUUUCUUCUAUGUAUCUUUGUCUUGUUUUCUUGUUUGUUCCUAAGAGUUGUCUGUGUCUUAUCUUGGAUGUCUCCCUCUAGUUUUUUCAUUUUGUUACUGAUUCUCUUUGCUUUCCUAGAUCUGGUUCUUCUUUCACUGUUCUUCCUUUUGUGUCUCUGUGUCACAUGAUGUAUGCUUUUUGUCCAUUUUUUGUUCUGCCUAUACUUCUCUUCUUGUUCUGUUGUGAACCCUGAUUUUUUGUCUUCCCUUCCCCUUCUUGUUGGUUUGACAUUUCACCUUUUUUCAUUCUGCCUUCCCUUCUGCUUUUUCUACUCAUUAUCUAACAUUUCUUUUCUAUAUAUUUUUUCUGCCUCUUUUGCAAGACCAUUUUCUCUCUAUUUUGUCCUGCUUUGUCUCAGUGUCUCUUUUUUCUCUCUGUUU